Long non-coding RNA from Diospyros lotus (date-plum), 373 nucleotides. RefSeq lists it as uncharacterized. The transcript has 3 exons. NCBI's taxonomy places the organism in Eukaryota, Viridiplantae, Streptophyta, Magnoliopsida, Ericales, Ebenaceae. The record is from RefSeq and is a predicted model, not a curated record.
UUUAAUGUUGACGAAGGAAAUGUGAAGAAUUUCAUUUUAAGAAACAUCAGAAAAAAAUGGAAGGAUAAUAGAUGCAAGUUAUACCAUGAGUACUAUGAUCCCACUAUUGGUCGAGAGGCAAAUCUUGCAAAACAUCCACCAGGAAUCUCACAAGACCAGUGGGCAAGUUUCAUUGAUUAUCGAGCACGCGAAAAAACUAAGGAGAUGUGUCUACAAAAUAGUGAAAAUCGAUCCAAAUUGACAAUCCCACACACUGGAGGAUCAAAGAGUCUAGCAAGAAAAAAACAUGAGAUGGAAAUUGAGAGUGGUCAACCAGUGAGUAGGGGUUUAUUAUACAUCGCGACACAUAAGAAGAAAGACGGAUCUUUUGUGA